GUAGUGGGGGAUAACGUUGGGAAACGGACGCUAAUACCGCAUACGUCCUACGGGAGAAAGCAGGGGACCUUCGGGCCUUGCGCUAUCAGAUGAGCCUAGGUCGGAUUAGCUAGUUGGUGAGGUAAUGGCUCACCAAGGCGACGAUCCGUAACUGGUCUGAGAGGAUGAUCAGUCACACUGGAACUGAGACACGGUCCAGACUCCUACGGGAGGCAGCAGUGGGGAAUAUUGGACAAUGGGCGAAAGCCUGAUCCAAAAGGGCCGCGUGUGUGAAGAAGGUCUUGGGAUGUAAUUAAAGGAAAGUUGGGAGGAAGGGCAGUUACAGUAAUACGUGAUGUUUGACGU
This 345-nucleotide ribosomal RNA is filed under the name uncultured bacterium. RNAcentral describes it as "bacterial SSU rRNA". It matches the Rfam family "Bacterial small subunit ribosomal RNA", at positions 133 to 475 of the family's 1533-position model. The record is from RNAcentral.